RNAcentral lists this ribosomal RNA (818 nucleotides) under Streptomyces sp. Its description in RNAcentral is "bacterial SSU rRNA". It matches the Rfam family "Bacterial small subunit ribosomal RNA", at positions 89 to 938 of the family's 1533-position model. The record is from RNAcentral. Lineage: Bacteria; Bacillati; Actinomycetota; Actinomycetes; Kitasatosporales; Streptomycetaceae.
UGGAUAGUGGCGACGGGUGAGUAACACGUGGGCAAUCUGCCCUUCACUCUGGGACAAGCCCUGGAAACGGGGUCUAAUACCGGAUAACACUCCUGCCUGCAUGGGCGGGGGUUAAAAGCUCCGGCGGUGAAGGAUGAGCCCGCGGCCUAUCAGCUUGUUGGUGGGGUAAUGGCCUACCAAGGCGACGACGGGUAGCCGGCCUGAGAGGGCGACCGGCCACACUGGGACUGAGACACGGCCCAGACUCCUACGGGAGGCAGCAGUGGGGAAUAUUGCACAAUGGGCGAAAGCCUGAUGCAGCGACGCCGCGUGAGGGAUGACGGCCUUCGGGUUGUAAACCUCUUUCAGCAGGGAAGAAGCGAAAGUGACGGUACCUGCAGAAGAAGCGCCGGCUAACUACGUGCCAGCAGCCGCGGUAAUACGUAGGGCGCAAGCGUUGUCCGGAAUUAUUGGGCGUAAAGAGCUCGUAGGCGGCUUGUCACGUCGGAUGUGAAAGCCCGGGGCUUAACCCCGGGUCUGCAUUCGAUACGGGCAGGCUAGAGUGUGGUAGGGGAGAUCGGAAUUCCUGGUGUAGCGGUGAAAUGCGCAGAUAUCAGGAGGAACACCGGUGGCGAAGGCGGAUCUCUGGGCCAUUACUGACGCUGAGGAGCGAAAGCGUGGGGAGCGAACAGGAUUAGAUACCCUGGUAGUCCACGCCGUAAACGUUGGGACUAGUGUUGGCGACAUUCCACGUCGUAGUGCCGCAGCUACGCAUUAGUUCCCCGCCUGGGGAGUACGCGCAGCUAAACUCAAGAUGACGGGACCGCCAGCAGCGGAGC